CCUACGGGUGGCAGCAGUGGGGAAUCUUGGGCAAUGGGCGCAAGCCUGACCCAGCAACGCCGCGUGAAGGAAGGAGGCCCUCGGGUUGUAAACUUCUUUUAAGGGGGAAGAGCAGAAGACGGUACACCUUGAAUAAGACACGGGUAACUACGUGAAAGACGCCGCGGAAAUACGUAGGGGGCGAGCGUGGUACGGAUUUACUGGGAGUAAAGGGCGGGCAGCCGGGUGGAAAAGUCAGAUGUGAAAUCCACGGGCUCAACCCGGGAACUGCAUUUGAAACUGGUUCACUUGAGUGUCGGAGAGGAAAUCGGAAUUCCUUGUGUAGCGGUGAAAUGCGUAGAUAUAAGGAAGAACACCAGUGGCGAAGGCGGAUUACUGGACGAUAACUGACGGUGAGGCGCGAAAGCGUGGGUAGCAAACAGGAUUAGAUACCCUAGUAGUC
This 442-nucleotide ribosomal RNA is filed under the name uncultured bacterium. RNAcentral describes it as "partial 16S ribosomal RNA". It matches the Rfam family "Bacterial small subunit ribosomal RNA", at positions 338 to 795 of the family's 1533-position model. The record is from RNAcentral.